Molecule: unclassified non-coding RNA, 208 nt
Filed under: plant metagenome
Description: partial contains small subunit ribosomal RNA, internal transcribed spacer 1, and 5.8S ribosomal RNA
Source: RNAcentral
GUAGGUGAACCUGCGGAAGGAUCAUUCAUAAUAAGUGUUAUAUGGCACUUUUUUAAAUCCAUAUCCACCUUGUGUGCAAUGUCAGGGUUGAUUUUUCUCUCGAGAGGAUCAGCCCCAAACAUCAACUAUAUCUCAACUCUUUGUCUGAAAAAUAUUAUGAAUAAAACAAUUCAAAAUACAACUUUCAACAACGGAUCUCUUGGCUCUC